Molecule: ribosomal RNA, 460 nt
Filed under: uncultured bacterium
Lineage: Bacteria
Description: partial 16S ribosomal RNA
Rfam family: Bacterial small subunit ribosomal RNA
Source: RNAcentral
CCUACGGGAGGCAGCAGUGAGGAAUAUUGGUCAAUGGCCGUAAGGCUGAACCAGCCAAGUAGCGUGAGGGAAGACUGCUCUAUGGGUUGUAAACCUCUUUUAUGCGGGGAUAAAGGUGUCCACGUGUGGAUGUUUGCAGGUACCGCAUGAAUAAGGACCGGCUAAUUCCGUGCCAGCAGCCGCGGUAAUACGGAGGGUCCGGGCGUUAUCCGGAUUUAGUGGGUUUAAAGGGUGCGUAGUGCGGUCUUUAAGCGUGCCGUGAAAUUUUGUGGCUCAACCAUGAGAGUGCGGCGCAAACUGGAGACCUUGAGUGCGCGGGAGGCAGGCGGAAUUCGUGGUGUAGCGGUGAAAUGCUUAGAUAUCACGAAGAACCCCGAUUGCGAAGGCAGCUUGCCGCAGCGUUACUGACGCUGAGGCUCGAAAGCGCGGGGAUCGAACAGGAUUAGAUACCCGGGUAGUC